UUUAAAGUCUAAUCUGCCCUAUGAGGGAUUAAAUGGCCGCGGUAUUUUGACCGUGCAAAGGUAGCAUAAUAAUUAGUUUUUUAAUUGAAAGCUGGAAUGAAUGAUUGGACGAGAAAAUAGUUGUCUCAAUUUAAUUUUUUUAGAAUUUUAUUUUUAAGUAAAAAAGCUUAAAUUUUUUUAAAAGACGAGAAGACCCUAUAGAGUUUUAUAUAUAAUUAGGUAUAAUUUUUAUGGGGAUUCUAUAUUUAUAUCUAAUUUUAUAUUUUGUUGGGGUGAUGGAAAAAUUUAAUAAACUUUUUUUAUAAAAAAAACAUUAAUUUAUGAUUAAAUGAUCCAAAUAUAUUGAUUAUAAGAUUAAAUUACCUUAGGGAUAACAGCGUAAUUUUUUUUUAGAGUUCUUAUCGAAAGAAAAGAUUGCGACCUCGAUGUUGGAUUAAAAUUAAUUUUCGGUGUAGAAGCUGAAUGAUUGGGUCUGUUCGACCUUUAAAAUUUUACA
RNAcentral lists this ribosomal RNA (496 nucleotides) under Comaserica sp. DA4294. Its description in RNAcentral is "partial 16S large subunit ribosomal RNA". It matches the Rfam family "Bacterial large subunit ribosomal RNA", at positions 1844 to 2600 of the family's 2925-position model. Lineage: Eukaryota; Metazoa; Arthropoda; Insecta; Coleoptera; Scarabaeidae. The record is from RNAcentral.